Molecule: non-coding RNA, 73 nt
Organism: Spirochaetaceae bacterium 4572_59
Lineage: Bacteria; Pseudomonadati; Spirochaetota; Spirochaetia; Spirochaetales; Spirochaetaceae
Source: Rfam
CGCAGGGUGGAGCAGUUGGCAGCUCGUUGGGCUCAUAACCCAAAGGCCGUAGGUUCGAGUCCUACCCCUGCUA